Small nucleolar RNA from Eptesicus fuscus (big brown bat), 108 nucleotides. RefSeq annotates it as small nucleolar RNA SNORA58. The transcript has a single exon. The record is from RefSeq and is a predicted model, not a curated record. Lineage: Eukaryota; Metazoa; Chordata; Mammalia; Chiroptera; Vespertilionidae.
GAGGUUGCAAGAAGAUUCAUCCACAGUGUAUUCAAGAGUAAUUUGGAGUUUGUGCCAGUUCUAGCCAGCCUAUUCAGUGGCUGGAUAAGUUGCAUUACUUCAACAUUU